GGGCUCCGGCAGCACGGCAGCACAGAGACUAAAACUGGAACGAUACAGAGAAGGUUAGCACGGCCCCUGCACAAGGAUGACACGCAAAUUCGUGAAGCCUUCCCUACUUUU
Molecule: small nuclear RNA, 111 nt
Organism: Perognathus longimembris pacificus (Pacific pocket mouse)
Lineage: Eukaryota; Metazoa; Chordata; Mammalia; Rodentia; Heteromyidae
Source: RefSeq, a predicted model, not a curated record